Molecule: long non-coding RNA, 871 nt
Organism: Planococcus citri (citrus mealybug)
Lineage: Eukaryota; Metazoa; Arthropoda; Insecta; Hemiptera; Pseudococcidae
Exons: 3
Source: RefSeq, a predicted model, not a curated record
AACUUCAGCGUAGUACGUGGAGUAUGGGAGUUGGUCUAUUUGUAUUUUGUAAAUAUUAGGUACUUAUGGUACUGUCUGUAGUACUUACUUUCAACACGAACUUGCAUCACAUUCAAAGUAUUUUUCGUCUGUGCCUGACUGUCUGUUGUGCCAUUUAGUACUUAAAAAACUGUGCAUUUUCUGUAUUAUAUUUCGUUGUAGGUACCUAUUAGAGAAUAAUAUUGUUCGUUCAAUCAAGUCCUUCAGAUUCUGAUCCAGUAAAAAUCAAAUACAAAUACCAAUACAUACGUGAGUAAUCGAUCCGCAAUCGCUUAAAAAUGGAAAUCAUCAAUUCAGUACUAUAUUGGUCGGGAGCCACAGUAUUAUGUGGAUUGAAAACCAUAGGACUAUGUGGAUUGGAAGCCAUCAAUUCAGUACUAUUUAUUUUGGGAUCCAUCAAUGCAAUACUCAACAAUUCAUUAUUUCGAGGAUUGGUAGCCAUGAAUUCAAUACUAUUGAGAUUUAUGAAUUACAACCACCUCUUGGAAAUUCCAUAUACAAUGGAGCUCCCGAAGAUAAAUCCAGAUGAUGGAAUAGAAGAAAAAAUUACAAAAGAUGGGCAUAUAUCGUACGUACUUGUACUGUUUAUACUUGCAGUGCUCAUACCUGUAAUUGACCGAGCAUUGCGACACUUCUUCUACGUUACAAUGUUCUUAUUAUUUGUACUGGUCCCAGCAUUGCGAUACUUCGUCGGAGUUUUGUACCAAUCGCCUUCUCGAUCACCAUUGUUGUUUUUAUCUUAAGAUUUCAUUUUUCCUCAUUUUUUUUUUUUUUUUUUUCUUUUAUGGACACAACUUCUUAUGUGAUACAAAUAAAAACUAUGGAACGUUAA